RNAcentral lists this long non-coding RNA (793 nucleotides) under Apteryx rowi (Okarito brown kiwi). RNAcentral's name for it is "lncRNA (ENSARWG00000018131.1)". The record is from RNAcentral. Lineage: Eukaryota; Metazoa; Chordata; Aves; Apterygiformes; Apterygidae.
GCCCGUCUUUGAGAAACACACCAAGAUAGAUGAGCGUUUCUGGUGAGGAAGUGUGUCCCUAAGGAGGAAGACCUCAGCUUUUCCCUGCGGCUGGCUAGUCAGGCCACGCGCGACUGUGAAUCAGCUGGUUACCACACGCGUGGCCCCACGUCCGGCACAGCCCAGGCCGCCUCUUGCUCCGCUGACGGGUGCGAGGCGCUGCCGGCCUUGCGGGGGCAGUCAGCGCCAUCUGUCGGAAAUGGAUGUGAGGAAAAUGGUGUCUGUGUCCCGACCUACUAGCAAGAAAGGAUGGGUGAACACCAUGCAAGCUUCAAAGCAGGAAAAUAUAAACAUGGAAGAUACUUAAGGAGCAACACUGUCUCUCACAAAGUAGAACUAAUUUGCUAACAAAUAACAAAUAUAAAUAGUGCAGUGGGUGUGUUUUGCUUUCUAGAGUCAUACCUAUCACUUCUUGUGUCCUUACUACUUCUAUGGCACCAGACUUCAAAAAAAUAUUAGUUCAUUGUGCUUUGGUUUCAUUGCUUGCAUUGCAUGAAAUUGCUACAUGAUUGAAAUAUUAUAUUAACAAAUUUAUAUUCACUAAAGCACUAUUAAGAGAAAUCUUCCUGUAGAGUGAAUAUUAUAUUUGCCUCCACCUGGCUUGCUCGUCUUCUGAGAUAGCUAGAUGAUAAGACGGGCAUUUCAGGUUUGUAGGACAUUUAUUCUAACUUCAGUGGCAUUGCUUCAUUUUGGUAGUAUUCAAUAUUUAAUUAGUUGUGGGAAAAAGUUCUGUAUCAGGAUAGCUUUCUGAAUU